CCUACGGGUGGCAGCAGUGGGGAAUAUUGCACAAUGGGCGAAAGCCUGAUGCAGCAACGCCGCGUGAAGGAAGAAGGGUUUCGGCUCGUAAACUUCUAUCAACAGGGACGAAAGAAAUGACGGUACCUGAAUAAGAAGAGUCGGCUAACUACGUGCCAGCAGCCGCGGUAAGACGGAGGGGGCAAGCGUUAUCAGGAAUUACUGGGUGUAAAGGGUGAGUAGGCGGCAAGGUAAGCCAGAUGUGAAAGCCUUGGGCUUAACACGUGGAUUGCAUUUGGAACUAUCAAGCUAGAGUACAGGAGAGGUAAGCGGAAUUGCUAGUGUAGCGGUGAAAUGCGUAGAUAUUAGAAAGAACACCAGUGGCGAAGGCGGCUUUCUAAACUGAAACUGACGCUGAGGCACGAAAGCGUGGGGAGCGAACAGGAUUAGAUACCCUUGUAGUC
Molecule: ribosomal RNA, 443 nt
Filed under: uncultured bacterium
Lineage: Bacteria
Description: partial 16S ribosomal RNA
Rfam family: Bacterial small subunit ribosomal RNA
Source: RNAcentral